CUAAGGGGACUAUUGUAUUUGAAAAAUCAAAAACACUCACUAAAUUCCCAAAUCUCCCUUUUUUUCUCUACUGUCAUGGUUUCCAUGACUACAUUUCACAGCUCGAUUUUACAUCUUAAAUGUAAAUGAUUUCUACUGAGAAACACUAUAUAGAAUUUUCAGAUGGAAGAAAGUUAAAGAGGUUUACUCGUCCAGGCAAAUGCUUCUGGCAAGCUGCACCCAGAGCCAGGGAUCUUCACUGGUGUGUAUUAUAAACUCUGGUAAGGACCUUCCAGAGUUGCUACUUGCAAAGAGAAAUCCAAAUGUGCGUCAUCUUGCAAAGAGACAACACUGGAUACAAGUUUCCCACUUGUUGUAGAAUAACAUCAUGCUGCUUCCAGAGGAGUAACACUUGCAAGCAACAGCAGUAACAACAAAAGCAAUCGAGUGACUCAAAAUUUACUUGGUCAAGAAACUUGUGUUCUCUUACAGGAGGCUAGAGGUUAGACAGCAUCUUAAACUAUGGGCCUUUUGUGGAAGGUGGAUCCUCUAGCAAAGUAUUUUGUGGAAG
This 550-nucleotide long non-coding RNA is filed under the name Vulpes vulpes (red fox). RNAcentral describes it as "lncRNA (ENSVVUG00000018405.1)". The record is from RNAcentral. Lineage: Eukaryota; Metazoa; Chordata; Mammalia; Carnivora; Canidae.